GCUUACGGGAGGCAGCAGUGGGGAACCUUGCACAAGUGGAGGCAACUCUGAAUGCAGCGACGCCGCGUGAGCGAUGAAGCCCUUCGGGGUGUAAAGCUCUUUCGACGGGGACGAUAAUGACGGUACCCGGAGAAGAAGCUGCGGCUAACUACGUGCCAGCAGCCGCGGUAAUACGUAGGCAGCGAGCGUUGUUCGGAAUUACUGGGCGUAAAGAGUGUGUAGGCGGUGCUCUAAGUUCGGUGUGAAAUCUCCUGGCUUAACUGGGAGGGUGCGCCGGAAACUGGAAUGCUCGAGCGUGGGAGAGGUAAGCGGAAUUCCUGGUGUAGCGGUGAAAUGCGUAGAUAUCAGGAGGAACACCUGUGGUGUAGACAGCUUACUGGACCAUUGCUGACGCUGAGACACGAAAGCGUGGGUAGCAAACAGGAUUAGAUACCCUGGUAGUCCACGCCCUAAACGAUGCAUACUUGGUGUCGGCCAUUCAGUUGGUCGGUGCCGGAGCUAACGCGUUAAGUAUGCCGCCUGGGGAGU
Molecule: ribosomal RNA, 528 nt
Filed under: uncultured Terriglobales bacterium
Lineage: Bacteria; Pseudomonadati; Acidobacteriota; Terriglobia; Terriglobales
Description: bacterial SSU rRNA
Rfam family: Bacterial small subunit ribosomal RNA
Source: RNAcentral